CCGGACCUGACUGCUAUCGGAUUGGUACUAAGCCAUGCGAGUCAUUGUAGCAAUACAAGGCGGACGGCUCAGUAACACGUAGUCAACCUAACCUAUGGACGUGGAUAACCUCGGGAAACUGAGAAUAAACCACGAUAGACCAUAAUGCCUGGAAUGGCUUAUGGUUCAAACAAUUUAUUGCCAUAGGAUGGGACUGCGGCCUAUCAGCUUGUUGGUGAGGUAAUGGCCCACCAAGGCAAUAACAGGUACGGGCUCUGAGAGGAGAAGCCCGGAGAUGGGUACUGAGACACGGACCCAGGCCCUAUGGGGCGCAGCAGGCGAGAAACCUUAGCAAUGUGCGAAAGCACGACUAGGUUAAUCCGAGUGGUUCCUGCUAAAGGAACCUUUUGUCAGUCGUAAAACCACAGACGAAUAAGGGGUGGGCAAGUCUGGUGUCAGCCGCCGCGGUAAUACCAGCACCUCGAGUGGUCAGGAGGUUUAUUGGGCCUAAAGCAUCCGUAGCCGGCUACGCAAGUCUUCGGUUAAAUCCAACUGCUCAACAGAUGGGCUGCCGGAGAUACUACAUAGCUAGGGAGCGGGAGAGGCAGACGGUAUUCGGUGGGUAGGGGUAAAAUCCACUGAUCCAUCGAGGACCACCAGUGGCGAAGGCGGUCUGCCAGAACGCGUUCGACGGUGAGGGAUGAAAGCUGGGGGAGCAAACCGGAUUAGAUACCCGGGUAGUCCCAGCUGUAAACGAUGCAAACUCGGUGAUGCGUUGGCUUAUGGGCCAACGCAGUGCCGCAGGGAAGCCGUUAAGUUUGCCGCCUGGGAAGUACGGACGCAAGUCUGAAACUUAAAGGAAUUGGCGGGGAGCACACAAGGGGUGAAGCUGCGGUUCAUUGGAUUCAACGC
Molecule: ribosomal RNA, 891 nt
Filed under: uncultured archaeon
Lineage: Archaea
Description: bacterial SSU rRNA
Rfam family: Archaeal small subunit ribosomal RNA
Source: RNAcentral